Molecule: ribosomal RNA, 260 nt
Filed under: uncultured prokaryote
Description: partial 16S ribosomal RNA
Rfam family: Bacterial small subunit ribosomal RNA
Source: RNAcentral
CACGUAGGGGGCGAGCGUUGUCCGGAAUUACUGUGCGUAAAGGGCGCGCAGGCUGUUAUGCGAGUCUGCUGUGAAAUGUACCGGCUCAACCGGUGCCUUGCGGCGGAUACUGCAUAGCUGGAGUACUGGAGAGGGAAGUGGAAUUCCCGGUGUAGCGGUGAAAUGCGUAGAUAUCGGAGGAACACCGGUGGCGAAGGCGGCUUUCUGGCCAGUUACUGACGCUCAUGCGCGAAAGCUGGGGUAGCGAACCGGAUUAGAUA